RNAcentral lists this ribosomal RNA (1122 nucleotides) under Triticum aestivum (bread wheat). RNAcentral's name for it is "partial small subunit ribosomal RNA". The record is from RNAcentral. Lineage: Eukaryota; Viridiplantae; Streptophyta; Magnoliopsida; Poales; Poaceae.
AUGGUACCCAAAGUCCAGCGACAUCCGAAGCUGUAUCUUGCUCGCGAACUUGCCCUCCUUCUUCUCGCCGUCGUCGCUGGGACGCGCAAGGCUGUACCAGCGCGGCUCCACGGGCUUGCCGAAGUGGUCAUGCCGCGUCAUUGCGGCAUUGAGGGGCAGCAUAAUGCGCCCGAGCGGCUCGUCACGGCCUGGCCCGACGCGGUCCUCCACGGUGACGAGCAAGGGCUCGUCGAAUGGCUCCGACGCGACAAACAUGAACUCCUCGUUCCACAUCGGGUUGGGCGUCCCCGGCGGCCCGCCCGGGCGAGUGCGCCGCACCUGCCCGGCGAGCUGCAGCUUGACGGAGGCGUUCAUGGGGCGGGACGUGUCGUGGGGCACCAGGUCCUGCGCCCCGAUGGCUGCGACGCGGAGGUACACGAGCUUGGGCGAGAAGUAUACCUUGGCGCGCGUGGAGGCGACGGCCGAAGGGCCAGCCGCCCCGUGUGCAUCGGAAUGCCAGGCCUCCGGGAACGCCUCGUCAGCCUGGGUCCCGAGCCAGACCGACAGCAUGAUCUCGCCGUGGUGGAGCUUCUCCCCGCGCUUGCCGUCGAGCCUGUACCACUGGGGCGCCAGCGGGGAGUCCGGCGGCACGCGGACCGGCACCUCGGAGAGGUCGAACCCUAUGCGGCCGACCAUGUCGUCGCCGCCGGCGAGAUCCUUGGCCUUGACGGCGACCUCGAGCAGAUGCGACUGGAGGUGCGUGGCCGAGAAGGCGAAGACCUGGUGCCAGGAGGGGCUGUGGUGGCCGGCGAGGACGGCGGUGGUGCCCUUGAAGUUGCCGAGCUUGACCUCGACGAAGGGGUCGAUGGAGCCGGUGGGGGAGACGGCGGGGAGGUCCCGCGCCUUGACCACGUGCACGUAGAGGAAGCGCAUCGGCUCAACGAGGUCGUAGGUGGAGGAGAUCUUGCCGGCCGCGCUGGCGGCGGCGGCGGAGGGGUUGAGGCCCGGGAUGUUGAAGCGGGGCCGCAGCAUGGCGGCCAGCGGCGGGCGCGUCUCCGUCAGCCCGAACUGCUGCUGCGGCGGCGCCAUCGGGCCCCCCGGCCCGUGCAUCAUGAACGGCCGCGGCUGCAUUGCUCCCUUCAU